GUGGAUACAGAAACUUCAAAGCAAGAAGUCACUUUUAUUUAAAUCUGUAAACAGAACCCAAAAGUGCCUCUGUCUCUUGCUCUCGCUGUCUCGCACAAUCGGUCAUCUCUCUCUUUAUGACGCGUUUCAAUGGCGGCUGUUGUAGCUGAAACUUGUUCACAUAUAUCUAAUCUGAUCUCUAAAUUUCAUUUCUUUUCACUCUAUCCUCUGAACAAACACAAGCCCAUGUUCUCUCAUGUCUUAUUCUUCUUCCUCUUCUUCUUUGUCUUCUCUGUAUCCUGCUUUAUCUCUCUCUUUUUCCUUUAUAAGAAUUUCAGCAGGCCAAAGCGAGAGGAACAGAACCAGAACGGUGAAACUUCAGUUAUAAACUGUUCUUUGUCCAAAAUAAUCGAUGAAACUCACAAAACCCGUGAAAAUGACUCGAUCCAUUUGACUCAUUCGCUUCUUCUGGACAUCUUACCGUCCGAUUCUCCUAAAUGGGCCACUCUGUUUGGCAAUCAGCCUGAUGAAACGAGUUCGGGUCAUGACAAUGAUAGAGACGGGUCUGUAGGGGAUUCCCAGAAAGUGAAAAAGAAGAAGAAGAGGACGAAGAAGAAGAGAUUGGAUUCCAAGAGUGGAGAAAAUGGGGUUGAAGAUAAGGGCUUAGAGAGACAAAGAGAAGGUUUGGAUUCGGGGUUGCGGCAGGUCAAGCCGGAGUUAGUUUGCUUGUACCCUUUUACCUCAACGAGUAGUGCCACGCAAAGGAAGAUCAAGCAGCAGUAUGAUCAGCUUGUUAAGUGCAAUGAAAGCAAGGGAUUGACAUUGGCACAGGUUUUUCCUUUACACUUUUUUUGAAAAAAAUUCAAUUUAAUUGUGUUUGAGUUAAUUGAUAGUUGGUACCUUGGGAUGAUUUUGCUGUGGACUGGCUCGCCUGGCCUGCUGAAGAAGCUAACUUUGAAAAUUAUUGUUAUCAGGAGAACAUUUGGAGAGAAUUUUAUUUCUUCUCUUUUCAAUCUGUGAUUUUUUUACUAUUCAUUUUGGGUGCCUGGCUCUUCUUCGGGAAGUCUUUGUUUGUGUCUCUUUUCCAUUUGGUUAGUAAAAUUUUUUAUGUGAUCAAAUUAUUGAGCAAAAAAAUAAAUGAUAGAUUGUGAAGGGGAGCAGACGACAAAAGAAGAAUGUGCAUAAUAACUUUGAAUGCUUUGACCUCAUCAUGCGGUUUAGGAAAUGGCCGUUUCAUGAAAUGGUUGAGAUGAUCAAACAAUAGAAAAUGCUAAAACUGAAUUUUCAAUUGCAUGUUGUAUUGCGUGAUAAUAAAAGUCUCCGAUUAACAAUCACUAAGCAUGGAGGUCCAAGUUACAAGCAGCUCAUUUUUGUAAAUCUGCAGCUCAAUAGGAUUGUAUGGAUCAUGGGGGAUUAACAAAGGAAAUUUUAAAUGUCAUUGCUGUUAACCUUAGGUUUAAUGGGACUCCCAGUUACUUCACACAAUUAUACACUAGGAUGCUCCUGACUGGCAAUUGGAUUUUAAACCAGUUAUGGUUUAUGCUCUAUUUUCUUUUGGUAACACAAGUAUUAUUAACAUUGGAGGAAGGGGUAUUUUCUCGAUGGUUAUCUUUUACCUUUGUGAUGGUGAAUAUUGCCCCAUUGAAAUAUGUCUGUCUGGAGCAAGCUCUUCAAAGUCCUUGGCAAAUAUUGUUUUUCUUUCUAGAAAAGUUGGCUACUUAGUCUGGACAACAUCCCUAUUAUUUGAACGGUCAGUAUUAUGCCUGGAAGGAAGGCCAGAAAAGUAACUGCUCUAUCCCUGGUAUCAGUUUUAAUGCUUGGAGAUGGAGGAGGACAGCGACCUUUGAUGCAGGGUAGUGUUAAUUUGUUGGUCUUCACCUCCAGUUGGAAUUAAUCUAACUCUGAUGGUGCAGUUAAGGGUAAUUCAGGCGAGGGUGUGCAGUGUUCUGGCAGUGGGGGGUCAUGAUGGUUUUGAUGUCCAGAUUACUGAUUUUACAUUUAAUCUUGGUAUAUUUUCUUCAAUGGUAGUGGAAUUGCGGGCACUGUGUAUGGGUCUUGGUUUUGCUUGGAAACAAGGUUUUCAUCAAGUGAUGGUAGAGGUGUUUUCACAGUUGGUGAUCCAAUAUCUCAAUGAGAAUGUUUCUAAUGCUCAUCCUUUGCAGUUUCUUAUUUGAAAAUGCCAUAACUUCUUCAAUUGUGACUAGCUUGUUGAGAUUUCUCACACAUAUGGAAAAGAGAAAAUGGUGGUUGAUUGGCUUGCCAAUCAUGUGCUUCCUUUGGAUUUGGCUAUCAUGAGAUCUCUUCAUUUUCUUCAGGGUUCACUUUAUUGCUCCUCCAGUACCUGUGGCGUGUGUUUCCCCAGAACUGCAGUCUGUUAGUUUCUUUUCUGAGUCCUGGAUUCUUUGCUUCGCCCUCACAAGAAAAAAUAGAACAAAAUAAAAUUCUAGCUUUCUUUGUUAGAUGGCAUUGUUCAAUGAACACUAUCAGGUUUUUGACCUUAAGUGUAGGUGAGCUUUUUAUAAUCAGGCUUCCUAUUAAAGCCAAAUCUGACUAGUGCAAUGAAAAUCCUCAAGAAAAACAUGGAAUUAGGAAGGUGAUGGGUUUUAACUUUUAGGUAGAGGCUUAAACCUUUGUUUAAUUGUAUAUUACUGAAGGUGUGGUUCAAUUGAUAGAUCAAAUUCAUGAUUAUUUAAUUUAGAGUUUAUGCUUCAUGUUAUGAAAGUAAUUGCAUAUUUCAAUCUUGAAAACAUGCAUUUUGGAAUAUUUAAUGGUUAAAUAAGUAAAAACUUCAAUGCUGAAUCACCUGCAGCUAAUAUUUCUCUGUUUUUCUCUUGUGAUGCAGGUUGCAGAAUUUGCUAAUUGCUUGAUUGAAGCUAAAAAUGAGUUGCAACACAAGUCUGAGGUCAUCCAACGCAAGUUCACAAUAACAAGGGCUCUUCUAUUCAAGGCAGACAGGUCUUCAAUUGAUCGCCUUCGUCAACAGAUUUACAAGCUGGAGCUUGAACAAAAGAGAUUAGAAGAGGACACAUUUGUUUAUAAUUGGCUCCAACAACAACUUAAACUCUCACCAGCAUACGAAAAGGUAAAAUUCAACUGUAAUUAUGGAAUUUCUGGGUUUGGCUGACGAUGCAGAUUAUGCAAAUAAAUAAUUUUGCCUCUUCCACUUUUCUCUGCAAUUCGUGAAAAUGUUUUCAUGCCAAACAAAAUGUGACGUUGUGAAACGGACAAGUUCUGCCAUAUUUUUCCCUCUUUAUCUAGGGUCAUUGGACAUUUAUGAAGUCUAAAACACACAUUGUCUUUUUAGUGAAUUAACAACUAUUCUCUAGAUUGAUGUGAUGCACUUCUAUUUCUGAUGGAUUGACAAUUUGCAAAGCUUCGAGGAUUUGCCACAAGGUAUAGAAUCUUACAUGUAGGCAAUGACUCAGCAUUCUGCAUCUUUUUCUGUGUAUAUUAGAGAAAAUAGAAGAGAGAGAUACCUAAUGUUUUAAAAUUGAGUUCUAAUUUCCCUCUUAUUCUGCUAGGUGCUUAUAUUGCCUUUCCACUCAUAUGUUGCUGUUUAUAUGUGGAGAAGUUUUGUCCUUUUACUGCUAAGUCCCUUGUAUUGCUAUCCUCUCACCAAAAAAUAAAACAAAAUCCUUCUCUUCUUGUGUAAUUCAAAUCAAUGGACUUCUUUUUUUUUUUUAACUAAAUAGAUUAUUUGAUCAGAUGUUCUAGUAUUUUGAUCUUCUUUAUUAUAGAUGCUUGAAAUCAGUACCAGCAUGGAGUUGAAGGCCAAGUCUGGUGAGCUGAUUGAGAACAAAGAUACUGAAGUUGGUGAUAUUUCCUUUGAAGAGCUAUUAGCACAAGAAAAGAAGGAUGCAUUUUGGUUGGUUUGCUAGUCUUAUCAAAUGUUCAUUUCUUAUUCAAUAUUUGUUUCGGCACCGCCUAUAACUAAAUUUGUCUAUAAUCAUGUACAGGCAGAAAAAUGGGAAAUCAAGAUUAUACUCAAGCCAAUGAUAACGUCUGUUUGAUAAACUGUACUGAAGGAUGGACCUUUUUGUAGUAUGUAUUUGUGAUACCCAACAGUCGCAGGAAUUUUUUUCACUGCCUGUGCUUCUUUGGGUCUCCUUUGAAGAGAAUUGAGGCCAUGAUGCAUUGAAUCGUGAUCUCAUCUCUUCUCCCUAGUUAGUCCUUAAUAUGAUGGUCUGGAUUAAUUUAGCAAUUUUGCGUUUUGCUGAACUACUAACGUUCCAUUAUGAAUCUUGGAUAGUUCCCUUAUUUUUUUAAUAUAUACUCUUGAAUAGUUUGCUCUCGAAUCUCUCAUGGUUGUUUAUUACUAGUUACUAAACAAUUGAAUUAGGGGCUAGAGGUGUUGGUUUGGGAGAGUUUUAUAGGUGUGAACUGAUUUUCCUUGGAUUCUCU
RNAcentral lists this unclassified non-coding RNA (4380 nucleotides) under Hevea brasiliensis (rubber tree). Lineage: Eukaryota; Viridiplantae; Streptophyta; Magnoliopsida; Malpighiales; Euphorbiaceae. The record is from RNAcentral.